This 330-nucleotide ribosomal RNA is filed under the name uncultured eukaryote. RNAcentral describes it as "partial 18S ribosomal RNA". It matches the Rfam family "Eukaryotic small subunit ribosomal RNA", at positions 1470 to 1796 of the family's 1831-position model. The record is from RNAcentral.
CCCUUAGAUGUCCUGGGCCGCACGCGCGCUACACUGAUACAUUCAACGAGUUUACCUUGGCCGAGAGGCCUGGGCAACCUUUUAAACGUGCAUCGUGAUAGGGAUAGAUUAUUGCAAUUAUUAAUCUUGAACGAGGAAUUCCUAGUAAACGCAAAUCAUCAAUUUGCAUUGAUUACGUCCCUGCCCUUUGUACACACCGCCCGUCGCUACUACCGAUUGAAUGGUUUAGUGAGAUCUUCGGAUUGGCGCCACUGCAGCUCAGCAAUGGGCUUGGUGGAUGCCGAAAAGUUGAUCAAACUUGAUCAUUUAGAGGAAGUAAAAGUCGUAACA